Molecule: ribosomal RNA, 253 nt
Filed under: uncultured bacterium
Lineage: Bacteria
Description: partial 16S ribosomal RNA
Rfam family: Bacterial small subunit ribosomal RNA
Source: RNAcentral
UACGUAGGUUGCAAGCGUUGUCCGGAUUUAUUGGGUUUAAAGGGUGCGUAGGCGGCUUUGUAAGUCAGUGGUGAAAUAUGGCAGCUCAACUGUCAGGGUGCCAUUGAUACUGCAGAGCUUGAGUACAGAUGAGGUAGGCGGAAUUGACGGUGUAGCGGUGAAAUGCUUAGAUAUCGUCAAGAACACCGAUAGCGAAGGCAGCUUACUGGGCUGUAACUGACGCUGAGGCACGAAAGUGUGGGGAUCAAACAGG